Molecule: unclassified non-coding RNA, 26 nt
Filed under: Mus musculus (house mouse)
Lineage: Eukaryota; Metazoa; Chordata; Mammalia; Rodentia; Muridae
Description: oocyte_clustered_small_RNA7413
Source: RNAcentral
CGAUCUUACAGCACAAGACAUUGCUA